GACGAACGCUGGCGGCGUGCUUAGCACAUGCAAGUCGAACGGAAAGGCCCUGCUUUUGUGGGGUGCUCGAGUGGCGAACGGGUGAGUAACACGUGAGUAACCUGCCCUUGACUUUGGGAUAACUUCAGGAAACUGGGGCUAAUACCGGAUAGGAGCUCCUGCUGCAUGGUGGGGGUUGGAAAGUUUCGGCGGUUGGGGAUGGACUCGCGGCUUAUCAGCUUGUUGGUGGGGUAGUGGCUUACCAAGGCUUUGACGGGUGGCCGGCCUGAGAGGGUGACCGGCCACAUUGGGACUGAGAUACGGCCCAGACUCCUACGGGAGGCAGCAGUGGGGAAUAUUGCACAAUGGGCGGAAGCCUGAUGCAGCAACGCCGCGUGCGGGAUGACGGCCUUCGGGUUGUAAACCGCUUUCGCCUGUGACGAAGCGUGAGUGACGGUAAUGGGUAAAGAAGCACCGGCUAACUACGUG
This 468-nucleotide ribosomal RNA is filed under the name uncultured bacterium. Its description in RNAcentral is "partial 16S ribosomal RNA". It matches the Rfam family "Bacterial small subunit ribosomal RNA", at positions 28 to 507 of the family's 1533-position model. The record is from RNAcentral.